GACGAACGCUGGCGGCGUGCCUAAUACAUGCAAGUAGGACGCACAGUCUAUACCGUAGCUUGCUACACCAUAGACUGUGAGUUGCGAACGGGUGAGUAACGCGUAGGUAACCUGCCUAUUAGAGGGGGAUAACUAUUGGAAACGAUAGCUAAUACCGCAUAACAGUAUGUAACACAUGUUAGAUGCUUGAAAGAUGCAAUUGCAUCGCUAGUAGAUGGACCUGCGUUGUAUUAGCUAGUAGGUAGGGUAAUGGCCUACCUAGGCGACGAUACAUAGCCGACCUGAGAGGGUGAUCGGCCACACUGGGACUGAGACACGGCCCAGACUCCUACGGGAGGCAGCAGUAGGGAAUCUUCGGCAAUGGGGGGAACCCUGACCGAGCAACGCCGCGUGAGUGAAGAAGGUUUUCGGAUCGUAAAGCUCUGUUGUUAAGGAAGAACGAGUGUGAGAAUGGAAAGUUCAUACUGUGACGGUACUUAACCAGAAAGGGACGGCUAACUACGUGCCAGCAGCCGCGGUAAUACGUAGGGGGCAAGCGUUAUCCGGAUUUACUGGGUGUAAAGGGAGCGCAGACGGCGAAGCAAGUCUGAAGUGAAAUGCAUGGGCUCAACCCAUGAAUUGCUUUGGAAACUGUUUGGCUUGAGUGUCGGAGGGGUAAGCGGAAUUCCUAGUGUAGCGGUGAAAUGCGUAGAUAUUAGGAGGAACACCGGAGGCGAAGGCGGCUUACUGGACGACAACUGACGUUGAGGCUCGAAGGCGUGGGGAGCAAACAGG
RNAcentral lists this ribosomal RNA (774 nucleotides) under Streptococcus anginosus. RNAcentral describes it as "bacterial SSU rRNA". It matches the Rfam family "Bacterial small subunit ribosomal RNA", at positions 28 to 776 of the family's 1533-position model. Lineage: Bacteria; Bacillati; Bacillota; Bacilli; Lactobacillales; Streptococcaceae. The record is from RNAcentral.